RNAcentral lists this ribosomal RNA (253 nucleotides) under uncultured bacterium. Its description in RNAcentral is "partial 16S ribosomal RNA". It matches the Rfam family "Bacterial small subunit ribosomal RNA", at positions 524 to 776 of the family's 1533-position model. The record is from RNAcentral.
UACGUAGGGGGCAAGCGUUGUCCGGAUUCAUUGGGCGUAAAGAGCGUGUAGGCGGCCAGGUAGGUCGGUUGUGAAAACUGGAGGCUCAACCUUCAGAGGUCGACCGAAACCAUCUGGCUAGAGUCCGGGAGAGGAGAGUGGAACUCCUGGUGUAGCGGUGAAAUGCGCAGAUAUCAGGAAGAACACCCGUGGCGAAGGCGGCUCACUGGUCCAUUACUGACGCUGAGGUGCGAAAGCGUGGGGAGCAAACAGG